GACGAACGCUGGCGGCGUGCUUAACACAUGCAAGUCGAACGGAAAGGCCCUGCUUUUGUGGGGUGCUCGAGUGGCGAACGGGUGAGUAACACGUGAGUAACCUGCCCUUGACUUUGGGAUAACUUCAGGAAACUGGGGCUAAUAUCGGAUAGGAGCUCCUGUUGCAUGGUGGGGGUUGGAAAGUUUCGGCGGUUGGGGAUGGACUCGCGGCUUAUCAGCUUGUUGGUGGGGUAGUGGCUUACCAAGGCUUUGACGGGUAGCCGGCCUGAGAGGGUGACCGGCCACAUUGGGACUAAGGUACGGCCCAGACUCCUACGUGAGGCAACAGUGGGGAAUAUUGCACAAUGGGCCGAAGCCUGAUGCAGCAGCGCCGCGUGCGGGAUGACGGCCUUCGGGUUGUAAACCGCAUUCGCCUGUGACGAAGCGUGAGUGACGGUAAUGAGUAAAGAAGCACCGGCUAACUACGUG
RNAcentral lists this ribosomal RNA (468 nucleotides) under uncultured bacterium. Its description in RNAcentral is "partial 16S ribosomal RNA". It matches the Rfam family "Bacterial small subunit ribosomal RNA", at positions 28 to 507 of the family's 1533-position model. The record is from RNAcentral.